ACACCUACCUGGCAAGGGAGACACCAUGAUCACAACGAUGGUUUUCCCCAGGUGAGGCUCAGCCGUUGUACUCUGGAUGUGCUGACCUCUGUGAUUUCCCCAAAUGUGGGAAAAUUGAAUGCAUAAUUUGUAGAAGUGGAGGACUGCAUUCACACUUUGCCCUA
Talpa occidentalis (Iberian mole) is the source of this 164-nucleotide small nuclear RNA. RefSeq annotates it as U1 spliceosomal RNA. The transcript has a single exon. NCBI's taxonomy places the organism in Eukaryota, Metazoa, Chordata, Mammalia, Eulipotyphla, Talpidae. The record is from RefSeq and is a predicted model, not a curated record.